Molecule: long non-coding RNA, 301 nt
Organism: Helianthus annuus (common sunflower)
Lineage: Eukaryota; Viridiplantae; Streptophyta; Magnoliopsida; Asterales; Asteraceae
Exons: 4
Source: RefSeq, a predicted model, not a curated record
GUUGUCACAUCUAUACAAGAAAAUGGAGUUUGGUUGAUCUGAGAUGCCUAUUUAGCCGUAUGUGAUGACGCCGGUGGUCGUGUGGCUAUGGUGGUUUUACCAACAGAUCUUGGUGAAUUAGACACACUGCACGUGAUGUUGCUACCGAGAUUUGGUAACGAAGAGGAUGAUGGCCGUGUUUCGGGUUGGAGAAGCGACGAUGGAUGUAAGUGAAAUCAUAUACUCAACCAACUGUUGUCUCAAUUCCAAUCACCCAAUAUGGAGGUAUGCUAAAUUUUAUUGCUGACAUUUAGAAGCAAUU